Molecule: long non-coding RNA, 2430 nt
Organism: Daphnia pulicaria
Lineage: Eukaryota; Metazoa; Arthropoda; Branchiopoda; Diplostraca; Daphniidae
Exons: 10
Source: RefSeq, a predicted model, not a curated record
GGUGGUCUAAAGUCUCAACUCUCACUCUCUCAGGAAAGGGGUUUUGUAUGCCACAAAUGUGAAGUAAAAUUUUAAACAUUUGUCAUCAAAAUAAAUCGGUUUAAAACAUUGGUAAAAGAACUCGCAGGAAAUGAAGGUGUUUGUGGUAAAAAAGCAAACAACAUUAUCGAGCCAUCUUUCAUAAAGUGGAUUUUUCUCCAUUCCCAAAUUUUAGCUAUUACGGGAAGUGACUGCCCUCUUCAUAGUUGGACGUGUCGUCUUUGCAAGGAAAUAGGACAAAAUCACACCCAUUCUCUCUGACUGUCACGGAGACUCGCGACUCUUGAGGAUCGCUUCCUUUUAUAGUUUGGUUGCCUUUUUUACCAAUGCCAUUGCGUUGCGUUAAUCAACAUAGACGAAAGACCCUUAGAGUCAGGAUGGAUGGCGAUGGGAUCAGCUGGAUCCUUUUAUUCCGAUGAGAGUAUGUACCUUUUUAUUUACUUAAUGGUUUUCAGUGUGACGUCAUCCGCAAUUUCUCCUCCCAUAACCACAGACCAUUUAGCAUUCAUCUUCCAUGAAUAUUCAAUGCAAUGCGGCGGUUGUUUGUUUUUAUUAUUAUUAUUUUUAUUUUUAUUUUUUUUUCAAAUUUGCAUAUCUUUUGUGGUGGAAAAGAGCGAGCUCUGAUUGUGCAACAGUAGGGAAUUUUGGAUGUUGAUGUCAAUGUUGGCAAUUCUACUUUCAGCCGAAUACUUCCGUCCGUCUGUUUCGCUUCAGCAAACCCUUUUGAUAUCUCGUUCUGGCUCUAAAACUGAAUGAAAAUGAAAUCUUUUUUAUUUUAUGCAUUGACAUGCAGCAGCUAUGCGAAGUUAGGAAACGCAGUGGGAGAAGGCAGAGUAUUUUUGUUAAACUAAAAUUAUAUUAUUUUUUACGGAUAGUGUCUUAUUAUUCCAACACGAUACAAUAUCUAUAAAAUUUAAAUUAGAUUUGAUCAAACAACUAGUGAACUCGAGUGGUUUUGAUUGUUUGCUGUGAUUAGCCACGCCUCCAGUCGAAUAGAAUCUCGGAAAUUCGAGUCUUCUCGCGUGAGUAAGGAACAUUAAAAUGACGGUGGUUAAAGCACACGAUCCGAUAAAUAACGACCUAAUAGAGUGAGGUGAUUUUCUGCCAAAUCAUGUUUUUGGUCUUGUACAAGAUGAAUAUUUGAUUGCAUACAGUGGUCAUAAUUUCUUGGUUGACAAAGAUCAAUUAUAUGAUCCCAUCAACAAAGUUCCUGUAAAUGAAGUGAAGUUGUCAGACUUUAAUUUGUGUCGCCAACAUCUGGUUCUUUUUAAUGUACUGUACCUAAUAAGAUGCUUCUAGAAAUGAAAGGCUAUUUUCUACAAGCUGGCCAUCCACCCUGUUUUGAGACACAGUUUUCAUCAUUCAAGUCCGAGGGGACAUUGCGCUGGAUAAGAUAAAUGCUCAAAUCAAAACAUUGCCUCAAUUUAAAGACGUACGGCGAGAAUAGUUGAGUUUGGUGAAUUGAGUGCUCAAGCCAUUAUUCCAGGAAGCCAUCGGGUAAUUUCUGCCAUCUCUAAACCUAGAACGGAACACGUAUUUUUUAAAACUUCUUUGCAUAUUAUAGCGCAGUUUUUAAAAAAAGACAGCAUCGAACGUAUCCUGCACAAUGUAAAGGCAGUCAGUUGCGUGAAAACCCAAUUUAAAUAAUUUUAUUUUUUCUCCUUUCUCGCUGAUCUGCAAAUCACACCAUCCUCCCUUAAGUGAUGACGAGUGUUAGAAAUGUUUUAUGGCUCUGUAUAGCUCUACGCUACGCUCUACUUCAUCAACAACGCACUUGAUUCUUUCUGUUGGGUAUUCUUCGGAAUAAACUAUAAUUACCUAAAAUCUGGGGAUCAUUUAUCGCGACGUCAAACUGGAAAACAUUCUUCUUGAUUCACAAGGCCACGUUGCGUUGACGGAUUUCGGACUUUGCAAGGAAUUCCUUCCACAUGAAAAGAAUGCCAGGGCUGAUUCGUUUUGCGGUACCAGUGAAUACAUGGCCCCAGAGAUUGUGCGAGGUGGAGGCGCAGGCCACGAUAUGGCUGUCGACUGGUGGGGCGUUGGAGUGCUAACAUACGAGCUGCUAGCAGGCGCCUCUCCCUUUACAGUCGAAGGAGAGAAAAACAACCAACAGGAGAUUUCCAGGUAAUGAUUCGUACCUAAAAAAAAAACGCUGUUCAUGACAAAUAACAACAUGCAUUUGGUUAGCAAUGAUGAUGAGACAUUUGAAAACGGCCGUAAGACCCGAAUUUGUUUGUCAUUAACAUUUGUUAGAUUUUCAACAUUACGUGUUGCAUGUAUUGAUUAUUGAAUUGAUAAUUUGACCGAAAUUAUUUUGAUUUUUGUGAAGACAAGAUGGCUGUAACCAAGUCUGAAUUAUGGGAAUAUUAUAUAUAUACAGUACUACAAUGA